UACGGGGGGGGCAAGCGUUGUUCGGAAUUACUGGGCGUAAAGGGCUCGUAGGCGGCCAACUAAGUCAGACGUGAAAUCCCUCGGCUUAACCGGGGAACUGCGUCUGAUACUGGAUGGCUUGAGUUUGGGAGAGGGAUGCGGAAUUCCAGGUGUAGCGGUGAAAUGCGUAGAUAUCUGGAGGAAUACCGGUGGCGAAGGCGGCAUCCUGGACCGACAUUGACGCUGAGGAGCGAAAGCUAGGGGAGCAAACGAG
Molecule: ribosomal RNA, 253 nt
Filed under: uncultured bacterium
Lineage: Bacteria
Description: partial 16S ribosomal RNA
Rfam family: Bacterial small subunit ribosomal RNA
Source: RNAcentral